GCUCCAAUGGCGGAAUGGUAGACGCAGUGGACUCAAAAUCCACCGGUUAACAGCCAUAGGGGUUCAAGUCCCCUUUGGAGCACCA
RNAcentral lists this transfer RNA (85 nucleotides) under Erysipelotrichaceae bacterium. RNAcentral's name for it is "tRNA-Leu". It matches the Rfam family "tRNA". From Rfam's summary of the family: Transfer RNA (tRNA) molecules are approximately 80 nucleotides in length. Their secondary structure includes four short double-helical elements and three loops (D, anti-codon, and T loops). Lineage: Bacteria; Bacillati; Bacillota; Erysipelotrichia; Erysipelotrichales; Erysipelotrichaceae. The record is from RNAcentral.